Long non-coding RNA from Eubalaena glacialis (North Atlantic right whale), 157 nucleotides. RefSeq lists it as uncharacterized. The transcript is spliced from 3 exons. The record is from RefSeq and is a predicted model, not a curated record. NCBI's taxonomy places the organism in Eukaryota, Metazoa, Chordata, Mammalia, Artiodactyla, Balaenidae.
GCAUCAGUGAGCGGAUGGACAGGACAUUAAAUAUCUGCAUUCUGAUUUCAUCUCUUAAACCCAUCUGAUAAUCCCCUCCCAACAGACUCCCUUGAUUUCUGACCUCAUUUGUAAGGAUUAUGGAAUGGACAUACGGAAGCUGAGAUCACGGCAUGAG